This 258-nucleotide ribosomal RNA is filed under the name uncultured bacterium. Its description in RNAcentral is "partial small subunit ribosomal RNA". It matches the Rfam family "Bacterial small subunit ribosomal RNA", at positions 26 to 286 of the family's 1533-position model. The record is from RNAcentral.
AGGACGAACGCUGGCGGCGUGCUUAACACAUGCAAGUCGAGCGGAAAGGCCCUUUCGGGGGUACUCGAGCGGCGAACGGGUGAGUAACACGUGAGUAACCUGCCUUCAGCUUUGGGAUAACCCUCGGAAACGGGGGCUAAUACCGGGUAUUCACUCUGGGGGGCAUCUUCUGGGGUGGAAAGUUUUUCGGCUGGAGAUGGGCUCGCGGCCUAUCAGCUUGUUGGUGGGGUAAUGGCCUACCAAGGCGGCGACGGGUAG